GGGGGAUAUUGCACAAUGGAGGAAACUCUGAUGCAGCAACGCCGCGUGAGGGAAGACGGUUUUCGGAUUGUAAACCUCUGUCCUUGGUGACGAAACAAAUGACGGUAGCCAAGGAGGAAGCUCCGGCUAACUACGUGCCAGCAGCCGCGGUAAUACGUAGGGAGCAAGCGUUGUCCGGAUUUACUGGGCGUAAAGGGCACGCAGGCGGUUUUUUAAGUCAGAUGUGAAAACCCGGGGCUCAACCCCGGGACUGCAUUGGAAACUGUGUGGCUUGAGUGUCGGAGAGGUAAGUGGAAUUCCUAGUGUAGCGGUGAAAUGCGUAGAUAUUAGGAGGAACACCAGUGGCGAAGGCGGCUUACUGGACGAUGACUGACGUUGAGGCUCGAAAGCGUGGGGAGCAAACA
RNAcentral lists this ribosomal RNA (404 nucleotides) under uncultured Eubacteriales bacterium. RNAcentral describes it as "bacterial SSU rRNA". It matches the Rfam family "Bacterial small subunit ribosomal RNA", at positions 356 to 774 of the family's 1533-position model. Lineage: Bacteria; Bacillati; Bacillota; Clostridia; Eubacteriales. The record is from RNAcentral.